Molecule: ribosomal RNA, 583 nt
Filed under: Escherichia coli
Lineage: Bacteria; Pseudomonadati; Pseudomonadota; Gammaproteobacteria; Enterobacterales; Enterobacteriaceae
Description: bacterial SSU rRNA
Rfam family: Bacterial small subunit ribosomal RNA
Source: RNAcentral
AGUAAUGUCUGGGAAACUGCCUGAUGGAGGGGGAUAACUACUGGAAACGGUAGCUAAUACCGCAUAACGUCGCAAGACCAAAGAGGGGGACCUUCGGGCCUCUUGCCAUCGGAUGUGCCCAGAUGGGAUUAGCUAGUAGGUGGGGUAAAGGCUCACCUAGGCGACGAUCCCUAGCUGGUCUGAGAGGAUGACCAGCCACACUGGAACUGAGACACGGUCCAGACUCCUACGGGAGGCAGCAGUGGGGAAUAUUGCACAAUGGGCGCAAGCCUGAUGCAGCCAUGCCGCGUGUAUGAAGAAGGCCUUCGGGUUGUAAAGUACUUUCAGCGGGGAGGAAGGGAGUAAAGUUAAUACCUUUGCUCAUUGACGUUACCCGCAGAAGAAGCACCGGCUAACUCCGUGCCAGCAGCCGCGGUAAUACGGAGGGUGCAAGCGUUAAUCGGAAUUACUGGGCGUAAAGCGCACGCAGGCGGUUUGUUAAGUCAGAUGUGAAAUCCCCGGGCUCAACCUGGGAACUGCAUCUGAUACUGGCAAGCUUGAGUCUCGUAGAGGGGGGUAGAAUUCCAGGUGUAGCGGUGAAAUG